GACGAACGCUGGCGGCGUGCCUAAUACAUGCAAGUUGAGCGCUGAAGGUUGGUACUUGUACCAACUGGAUGAGCAGCGAACGGGUGAGUAACGCGUGGGGAAUCUGCCUUUGAGCGGGGGACAACAUUUGGAAACGAAUGCUAAUACCGCAUAAAAACUUUAAACACAAGUUUUAAGUUUGAAAGAUGCAAUUGCAUCACUCAAAGAUGAUCCCGCGUUGUAUUAGCUAGUUGGUGAGGUAAAGGCUCACCAAGGCGAUGAUACAUAGCCGACCUGAGAGGGUGAUCGGCCACAUUGGGACUGAGACACGGCCCAAACUCCUGCGGGAGGCAGCAGUAGGGAAUCUUCGGGAAUGGACGAAAGGCUGACCGAGCAACGCCGCGGGAGUGAAGAGGGUUUUCGGAUCGUAAAACUCUGUUGGUAGAGAAGAACGUUGGUGAGAGUGGAAAGCUCAUAAAGUGACGGUAACUACCCAGAAAGGGACGGCUAACUACGUG
This 497-nucleotide ribosomal RNA is filed under the name uncultured bacterium. RNAcentral describes it as "partial 16S ribosomal RNA". It matches the Rfam family "Bacterial small subunit ribosomal RNA", at positions 28 to 507 of the family's 1533-position model. The record is from RNAcentral.